This 1248-nucleotide long non-coding RNA is filed under the name Zea mays. Its description in RNAcentral is "long non-coding RNA (ZMAY_LNC004931)". Lineage: Eukaryota; Viridiplantae; Streptophyta; Magnoliopsida; Poales; Poaceae. The record is from RNAcentral.
CCCCCAGCAGUUGACUAUUCUGGCCACCAUCGAUGUUGGCGGAGGGUGGAUGGGUUGUCGUCGCGCCGCCGUCGGCUAAUUGGAGACAUACCAUUGCUGGGGGCUCGAUUGGUGCACGGUGGGGUUCGGAGAUAUGCAGGGAAGCUUAUGGGGGCGUCAGGGGAGAGCGAAGGACCCUGUAGCCGCCGGAAUUGCUCUCUGAUGCCUCUGCUCCGCCGUGGGCCGUGCUGCACCGUGGCCGGUGCCCUCCACGUCGCGAUAACCGGUGAGACUUAUCUCUUUGUGCUCGUGAUCAUCAAGGCUCAGUGUAGCAACGUUCGAAUUGAAGAUUCGUCCGGGUUAUGGAUUUUUGCGGUGGGGAUCGGCCAUGGCACCGCUGCGUAAGAACUGGUGGCGCAGCCGUCCUCAGAUCGGUAGGUAGGAGACGACCAUCUGGCCGUUCAAUUUGUGAUGGGCGGCCCAGAUUUGUGCUAGUGAAUCGAUUGGAAUCGGCUGUUGUGGGCUGUCCGAUCUGAUCGGAGGGAUAGGAUUAACUCUCGUUUCAUAAAACCUCGGUCGUGGAUUCUGAAUCCAAGGAUUGCGAUGGCGUACCGGUUCACCUAGUGAAGAUCUAAUCGGUGCCAUCAAUUCCGGAUCCAACGGCUCAGCCAUGACCAUACCGCUUCACCAUGGACUAUUUGCAUAUGAGCCCCUAGAUUUAUUCAGAAACAACCCGCACUCCACUCUGUGGGGAAUCCUGAGUCUUGGGGAGAUUUGCGAGUUAGCCCCUGCACUCCUCUGUUUUUAUGCGCGCAGUCCAGACUCAUAGGAAAAUUCAGAAAUUCAAUUAGAAAAUGAUUUUUAGUAUAUAAAUAAUUCCAGAAACUCAUUUUAUUCAUAGAAAAUUCAUACUAACUCCUUUUAGUCCAUUCCAGUUCCUAUAAUUUUAUACUUAGUAACUGCUAAUAAAAUUUUGACCAACUUUAAAAGCAAUGCUCAGCUCUAACCAUCGUCUUUGGUAAGCCUUACACUUCACGUGAGCUCCCACCUUUGGCGAGUUCAUGCACAUUAUUCCCCACAACUUGUUGAGCUAUGAACGUAUGUGAGCUCACUCUUGCUGUCUCACACCCCCCACAGAUCAAGAACAGGUAUCACAGGAUGAGGUGCAUGGAGGAUGCUGUGAUGAGUUCGUGAGUGGUCUAGGCCGUCGUCUCACAGUCAACUUUGGGUUGCUGGACCGUUGUCUCCUUAUAAUGUAAUUAUUUAUUU